This is a long non-coding RNA of Neoarius graeffei (lesser salmon catfish), 373 nucleotides long. RefSeq lists it as uncharacterized. Lineage: Eukaryota; Metazoa; Chordata; Actinopteri; Siluriformes; Ariidae. The record is from RefSeq and is a predicted model, not a curated record. The transcript has 3 exons.
GGGAAAAUCGCAGGAGAUUCAGGAGCAGAGCAACUCUCUGCUUUACUGAAGGAUCCACACUGCAGAGCUGAAAAACUUCAACUCCGUGAGUGUAAUCUGACAGAGAAAGGAUGUUCAGCUCUGCUCACAGCUCUCAGAUCAGAAUCCUCCACCCUGAGGGAGCUGAAUCUGAGUCAGAACAGGAUUCAGGAUUCAGGAGUGAAGCUGCUCUCUGCAGAACUGAAGAAUCCACACUGUAAACUGGAGACUGUGAGACUUUCAGACUGCAGUAUAACAGAGGAAGGAUACACUGCUCUGGCUGAAGCUCUGAGACUAAACCCAUCAUCACACCUGAGAGAGCUGGAUCUCAGAGGGAACGACCCUGGAGCAUCAG